UACAUUUGCAACGUCGAAAGUCGGCUACAUAAUAAACAUUAAAUAUAAUUUUAGCAUG
Flavobacteriia bacterium 40-80 is the source of this 58-nucleotide non-coding RNA. NCBI's taxonomy places the organism in Bacteria, Pseudomonadati, Bacteroidota, Flavobacteriia. The record is from Rfam.